Molecule: ribosomal RNA, 483 nt
Filed under: uncultured Glomus
Lineage: Eukaryota; Fungi; Glomeromycota; Glomeromycetes; Glomerales; Glomeraceae
Description: SSU rRNA
Rfam family: Eukaryotic small subunit ribosomal RNA
Source: RNAcentral
AGCAGCCGCGGUAAUUCCAGCUCCAAUAGCGUAUAUUAAAGUUGUUGCAGUUAAAAAGCUCGUAGUUGAAUUUCGGGAUCAAUAUGUUGGUCGUGCCCUGGUACGUACUGGCGUCAUUGGUUUCUACCUUCUGAAGAACCUCGAUGUCAUUAAUUUGGUGUCUUGGGGAAUCAGGACUGUUACUUUGAAAAAUUAGAGUGUUUAAAGCAAGCUCACGCUUGAAUACAUUAGCAUGGAAUAAUGAAAUAGGACGUUUGAUUCUAUUUGUUGGUUUCUAGGAUCGACGUAAUGAUUAAUAGGGAUAGUUGGGGGCAUUAGUAUUCAAUUGUCAGAGGUGAAAUUCUUGGAUUUAUUGAAGACUAACUACUGCGAAAGCAUUUGCCAAGGAUGUUUUCAUUAAUCAAGAACGAAAGUUAGGGGAUCGAAGACGAUCAGAUACCGUCGUAGUCUUAACCAUAAACUAAUGCCGACUAGGGAUCGGAU